Molecule: long non-coding RNA, 351 nt
Filed under: Homo sapiens (human)
Lineage: Eukaryota; Metazoa; Chordata; Mammalia; Primates; Hominidae
Description: non-protein coding lnc-PRR32-4:2
Source: RNAcentral
AAUACCCCGACGUUACUCGGACUACCCCGAUGCAUACACCACAUGAAAUAUCCUAUCAUCUGUAGGCUCAUUCAUUUCCCUAACAGCAGUAAUAUAUUGAGGGGAAUUAAUCUAAAACACUCUUUACGCCGGUUUCUAUUGACUUGGGUUAAUCGUGUGACCGCGGUGGCUGGCACGAAAUUGACCAACCCUGGAGUUAGUAUAGCUUAGUUAAACUUUCGUUUAUUGCUAAAGGUUUAUCACUGCUGUCUCCCAUGGGGGUGUGGCUAGGCUAAGCGUUUUGAGCUGCAUUGCUGCGUGCUUGGUCCUGGCCUUUCUAUUAGCUCUUAGUAAGAUUACACAUGCAAGCAC